RNAcentral lists this long non-coding RNA (1388 nucleotides) under Homo sapiens (human). RNAcentral's name for it is "LNC_000003". Lineage: Eukaryota; Metazoa; Chordata; Mammalia; Primates; Hominidae. The record is from RNAcentral.
CGGAAGUGCGGAUCCCAGCGGCGGUCGUGUAGCUGAGCAGGCCUGGGGCUUGGUUCUAUGUCCCUGUGGCUAUGUUUCCAGUGUCCUCUGGGUGUUUCCAAGAGCAACAAGAAACGAAUAAAUCUCUGUUGAAGAGAUACCAUUUGACAUUUUAGAGAUGGCUGCAUGCAAACUCUUAAAACAUUUGAGUAAGUACAGUGCACCAGGGAGACUCUUAUGACUAUUGGGAUAACACCAAGAAUUUGGUAUAUGCUCCUUACUCAGGGUCCCCAUAAAUCAAACCACCUAAAAUCAAAUAGAUUAAAGAAUGAAUUAGAUAAAGAGUUUACUUGCUUAACUAAGUGGGUUUUUUUGUUAAUUCCCUACAACCAAAUCUUUAUAAUACCCGAUGUUUUCUCCAUAUGCCAUGUUAGCAGCUGCACAGAUACUUAAGAUAAGAGUCUCAUAAUAGUAGAGAAGUCUUGAUCUGUGAUCUUGGGAAAAGCUGUUCACAUUAAGGAUGCCAUCUUCUUCUGGGGGGGAACUGUCCUUGUUAGCUUUACCUUAAGGGUUCCAAGGGGUGUAUGGUUCCAAUUGUGGAGGGACCCUUCUGAGUUGUAAGACUAUGAACCCAAAGUUUAAGGUUUUAAUGUUUUGCUGUCAUGUGAAUGGCAAGGGCAGUCCUCUGAUGUUCUCAGAAGAUCCAGUCAUCAGAUUCUAGAUUGUGAAGGGGUUGGCUGUCCUCUGUGAACCAUAAAAGUCUUUCUUUAUCUGGUGAAAAUACACUUCAGCAUAAUAAUCUACUGUUUUAACAUCAACCCUCUUGCAUGGAAGAGCUUUUUUACAAUCAGAAAACAUGCACUGAAAAUGACAACUGAAUGAAAUCCCUUUAUAAAAUGUUUAAAUGGCCCAUCAGGUAACCAAAUGCACCUGAAGUUUUGAUUGUUUUCCUAGGAAUAUAGGUUUGACAAACCAAACAUUGAUUAUAAACUAUUUUAGCAAUUUAGAGAUCACCACAGCAAUAUAUUUAAUUUGGAUCAUUUUCUCUUUCCAUGAUGAGUUAUGGAAUGCAGAACUUUUAAUAACAAAAGUUUUAAGGACUUAAGACGGAAAGGUGGCCAUCCUGGUUCUUCAUAAGUCUGUGCUUAAUUAACAUUAGACUUACAUCCUCUUGAAUACCAGCUGUUUCUUCAAAUUAGGUGCAUGGCACUGGUAACUGAUGAGUUAUAGGUAAUUUGGCUUAGACCAUGGAGUUUAUUUAAAUUAUAUAUCUAAACAAUUUCAAUAUUGGUGAUUUAGCAUGCAAAUCUGGAAAAUAUUUCCUUGAUAUUCAAUUUUUGUUUUACUUGGGUUAGCAGUUUUAUAAACCAGUUGGUCUUCUUAUUAAACUUUAGGAUUUUUUUUUUUUU